GCUGAAGAACACUUAUAGCACAACUCAGCACCCAGCAGAACCCGAACCACAGAGUGAGGAGAAAUAUUGGUUAAGGUUUGGCCACAACCAGACUGACAGUGAAGAAGAAUCAACAUUUAAAACCAAGAUGUGCUUGUCACUGAUAAUAACUGUCUUGAUUGUUGUGUUUGUAUUUAUCAUGUUAUUCUGGCAGAACAUUAUCACUCUCAGUAUCCUCAGAACAGGCGGUCACUUGAUCAUUAACACUGAUUUACAUAAAUCAGGAAAAAGAGUUUCAGAUGUAGUCAUCUCAGCAUUAGAUGAUCCUAAAAUAUCAGGAGCGUUAACAUUGGCUGUCACUGUGUUUUUCAUUUUGUCAAGCCCUCUAACUACGACUCUGUUGGUCAUUCUUAAUGCAACACUUUGGUUGCAUUGGCUCAACAUCCUCCCACUGAAAGAAUUAAUCGCAUUAACCUCAGACUUUUAUCAGUCGGUUACCACAGGACCAAAUCUCACCUGCACUGAUUCAUCGGCAGUUGAUACACAGCUGGCUGAUUUCCUUGAAGGAAGAAGAACUGUUAUCCAGUGUUAUGCACCUGUGCUGUUUCUUCUGUUUCCUGCCCUGAUGUUUAGUGUUUUGGUCCGGCUAUCUGCAUUCCAUGCUCCUCUCGGCUCUGUUAAUUAGCGGUGGCAGCAGCACCUGCGCCUGAUUACAUGCAUUGUGUUCACCUGUGAUCCUGCCAAUAAAUACCUGCCUCUCACAGCUAGUCUCUGCCAUAUUUUUGAAAGCCAUCGUCUGAGUAGACCAUUUAGGUAUUCUUUGAUUACCUACCUGUUCCUGACCCAAUCCCAUUCUGUGGAUUAUCCCUGUUUUACCUGUGUUGGACUCUCCUGUUGGCCCUGGAUUCUGGACACCGACUUAUCGAUCUGCCUUGUGACCAAGCCGCUCUCCCCAGCCCUCUGAUUACCUCUGCCAGUCUCUGUCUCCUGUGU
This is a long non-coding RNA of Fundulus heteroclitus (mummichog), 972 nucleotides long. RefSeq lists it as uncharacterized. The record is from RefSeq and is a predicted model, not a curated record. NCBI's taxonomy places the organism in Eukaryota, Metazoa, Chordata, Actinopteri, Cyprinodontiformes, Fundulidae. The transcript is spliced from 3 exons.